Molecule: ribosomal RNA, 492 nt
Filed under: uncultured bacterium
Lineage: Bacteria
Description: partial 16S ribosomal RNA
Rfam family: Bacterial small subunit ribosomal RNA
Source: RNAcentral
AUUGAACGCUGGCGGCAUGCUUUACACAUGCAAGUCGAACGGUAACAGGCCUUCGGGUGCUGACGAGUGGCGAACGGGUGAGUAAUGCAUCGGAACGUGCCCAGAGGUGGGGGAUAACGCAGCGAAAGCUGUGCUAAUACCGCAUGUGAUCUGAGGAUGAAAGCGGGGGACCAGGCAGCAAUGUUUGGCCUCGCGCCUUUGGAGCGGCCGAUGUCAGAUUAGGUAGUUGGUGGGGUAAAGGCCUACCAAGCCGACGAUCUGUAGCUGGUCUGAGAGGACGACCAGCCACACUGGAACUGAGACACGGCCCAGACGCCUACGGGAGGCAGCAGUGGGGAAUUUUGGACAAUGGGCGCAAGCCUGAUCCAGCAAUGCCGCGUGCGGGAAGAAGGCCUUCGGGUUGUAAACCGCUUUUGUACGGAACGAAAAGGCUCUGGCUAAUACCUGGGGCUGAUGACGGUAACGUAAGAAUAAGCACCGGCUAACUACGUG